ACGCAUCACUGGUGUUCGGGUUGUCAUGCCAAUGGCACUGCCCGGUAGCUAAAUGCGGAAGAGAUAAGUGCUGAAAGCAUCUAAGCACGAAACUUGCCCCGAGAUGAGUUCUCCCUGACUCUUUAAGGGUCCUGAAGGAACGUUGAAGACGACGACGUUGAUAGGCCGGGUGUGUAAGCGCAGCGAUGCGUUGAGCUAACCGGUACUAAUGAACCGUGAGGCUUAACCUUACAACGCCGAAG
Molecule: ribosomal RNA, 242 nt
Filed under: Escherichia coli
Lineage: Bacteria; Pseudomonadati; Pseudomonadota; Gammaproteobacteria; Enterobacterales; Enterobacteriaceae
Description: partial 23S ribosomal RNA
Rfam family: Bacterial large subunit ribosomal RNA
Source: RNAcentral